RNAcentral lists this long non-coding RNA (231 nucleotides) under Malus domestica (apple). RNAcentral's name for it is "long non-coding RNA (MDOM_LNC010671)". The record is from RNAcentral. Lineage: Eukaryota; Viridiplantae; Streptophyta; Magnoliopsida; Rosales; Rosaceae.
CCUGAGUAGUUUGGUCAACGGUAUGAUCUUCAAGAUUGAUGGGCUAUUCUUCCAGUUGGUGACUUGAUCUUUAAGGAUUUGAUUCAAGGGUGGUGAAACGGCACAUGCAGCCCACAACGCCUAGCAAGUCGACCUAAGAAUUUGAAGGUCAAAAUGAGUCCUCCACCCAGAGUGAUUGCAAACCUGAUGAUAUGAGAUACUUUUAAUUUUGAAGAAGUAGCGGAUGAAUCG